Molecule: long non-coding RNA, 319 nt
Filed under: Ictidomys tridecemlineatus (thirteen-lined ground squirrel)
Lineage: Eukaryota; Metazoa; Chordata; Mammalia; Rodentia; Sciuridae
Description: lncRNA (ENSSTOG00000032710.1)
Source: RNAcentral
GGAAGCCCCCAGCCAGUUCUCUGCAACUGCUGGAGAAGAAGGCAAGUUCAAGGCAGCCUGUUGUGGUCAGGACUCUUAGAAGAGCUUAGAACGGAGGUCUUCAGGAUGAAUGCAAGAGAGGCCAGGAGCUGAGAGUUGGCACUGUCUCAGUCCGGGAUUCUGCAGCCAAGAGAGCCUGGCCACCCGCACCCCGCCUAGGACACGUGAGUCUGUUAACCUAGGCCCAGAGGCCAGAGUGUGCAGUGAUGAGUCACCCCAACCCAACGCAACAGGAGACCCCCUCCUCCCUGCCUGCGCCUGGGCUGAGACCUGGUUGCCG